GGUCUAUUAGGUUAAUUUAUUUAAACUUUCAGUUUGUGGUGCUGGAGAUUUACUAUUAGAAGUAAUAAGGCUA
RNAcentral lists this transfer RNA (73 nucleotides) under Schistosoma haematobium. RNAcentral describes it as "tRNA-His". The record is from RNAcentral. Lineage: Eukaryota; Metazoa; Platyhelminthes; Trematoda; Strigeidida; Schistosomatidae.